AGAGUUUGAUCCUGGCUCAGAACGUACGCUGGCGGCACGCCUAACACAUGCAAGUCGAACGAAGUAGCAAUACUUAGUGGCAGACGGGUGAGUAACAUGUGGGUAUCUACCCUUUGGCCUGGAAUAACACGAGGAAACUUGUGCUAAUACCGGAUAAGUCUUUACGGAGAAAGCUUUAUGCACCAUUGGAUGAGCCCGCACUUGAUUAGUUUGUUGGUAGGGUAAUGGCCUACCAAGACUAUGAUCAAUAGCUGAUUUGAGAGGAUGAUCAGCCACAUUGGGACUGAGACACGGCCCAAACUCCUACGGGAGGCAGCAGUGGGGAAUCUUGCACAAUGGAGGAAACUCUGAUGCAGCGAUGCCGCGUGAGUGAAGAAGGCCUUUGGGUUGUAAAGCUCUUUCGUCGGGGAAGAAAAUGACUGUACCCGAAUAAGAAGGUCCGGCUAACUUCGUGCCAGCAGCCGCGGUAAUACGAAGGGACCUAGCGUAGUUCGGAAUUACUGGGCUUAAAGAGUUCGUAGGUGGUUGAAAAAGUUGGUGGUGAAAUCCCAGAGCUUAACUCUGGAACUGCCAUCAAAACUUUUCAGCUAGAGUAUGAUAGAGGAAAGCAGAAUUUCUAGUGUAGAGGUGAAAUUCGUAGAUAUUAGAAAGAAUACCAAUUGCGAAGGCAGCUUUCUGGAUCAUUACUGACACUGAGGAACGAAAGCAUGGGUAGCGAAGAGGAUUAGAUACCCUCGUAGUCCAUGCCGUAAACGAUGUGUGUUAGACGUUGGAAAUU
RNAcentral lists this ribosomal RNA (778 nucleotides) under uncultured bacterium. RNAcentral describes it as "bacterial SSU rRNA". It matches the Rfam family "Bacterial small subunit ribosomal RNA", at positions 8 to 831 of the family's 1533-position model. The record is from RNAcentral.